Molecule: long non-coding RNA, 378 nt
Filed under: Prunus persica (peach)
Lineage: Eukaryota; Viridiplantae; Streptophyta; Magnoliopsida; Rosales; Rosaceae
Description: long non-coding RNA (PPER_LNC003301)
Source: RNAcentral
UAGGGAAGUAGCAAGAUGGAAAAGGAGAAGUUUUUCAUUUAUAAUCACAAGAUCCACCAACGAAACCCUUUGAUUGCCAAAACACAAAAACUGUAGAACGACGUAGUUUUAUAAAUUAAAUUUGUACCAAGCAUGUGGGCGAUGAAAACACUUAGUCGCCAAAUCUCAUGAAAGUGUUUGGAUGUGAAUUUAUAAAUUAAAUUCGUAGCAAGCAUUUGUUGCGUCGAAUUUUGGAGUUUCAUGCCCACCCCACUAAUAAAAGGGGCGACCAAAAAGGCGUUUGGUGGCAAAAUCAUGGCCUCGCCAAGAAACAAUGUCGUCGCCUUACCUAAAUCUGUCUUCGCUAUUCUGUUCAUUGAACACUUCAUACAUGCCUAA